GAUGAAGAACGCAGCAAAAUGCGAUAAGUAAUGUGAAUUGCAGAAUUCAGUGAAUCAUCGAAUCUUUGAACGCACAUUGCGCCCGCUGGUAUUCCGGCGGGCAUGCCUGUUCGAGCGUCAUUUCAACCCUCAAACCCCCCGGGUUUGGUGUUGGGGAUCGGCUCUGCCUCACGGCGGUGCCGCCCCCGAAAUACAUUGGCGGUCUCGCUGCAGCCUCCAUUGCGUAGUAGCUAACACCUCGCAACUGGAACGCGGCGCGGCCAUGCCGUAAAACCCCAACUUCUGAAUGUUGACCUCGGAUCAGGUAGGAAUACCCGCUGAACUUAAGCAUACCAAUAAGCGGAGGA
This 347-nucleotide unclassified non-coding RNA is filed under the name soil metagenome. RNAcentral describes it as "partial contains 5.8S ribosomal RNA, internal transcribed spacer 2, and large subunit ribosomal RNA". The stretch from base 1 to 120 matches the Rfam family "5.8S ribosomal RNA", at positions 35 to 154 of the family's 154-position model. The record is from RNAcentral.